UACGGAGGGUGCAAGCGUUAUCCGGAUUCACUGGGUUUAAAGGGUGCGUAGGCGGGCAAGUAAGUCAGUGGUGAAAUCUCCGGGCUUAACUCGGAAACUGCCGUUGAUACUAUUUGUCUUGAAUAUCAUGGAGGUAAGCGGAAUAUGUCAUGUAGCGGUGAAAUGCUUAGAUAUGACAUAGAACACCGAUAGCGAAGGCAGCUUACUACAUGUUCAUUGACGCUGAGAAGCGAAAGCAUGGGGAGCGAACAGG
This 253-nucleotide ribosomal RNA is filed under the name uncultured bacterium. Its description in RNAcentral is "partial 16S ribosomal RNA". It matches the Rfam family "Bacterial small subunit ribosomal RNA", at positions 524 to 776 of the family's 1533-position model. The record is from RNAcentral.